AGCCCUGCCGGAUAGCUGACACCGUAUGUAUGCAACCCCAUAGAGAGGUCGUAGGUUCGAUCUUUUGCUUGAGGGGCUGUUCGAGGGUCCUCCCGAAGGGCUGUCCGAGUGACCGUCCGAGUUUCUUAGAGUGCCUCCCUAAGGACUGUCCGACUGCGUUCCGAAGGGUUGUCCGAGGUAUAGAUGCGGGAGAACAUCGUCGCGGUUGGGAGGUUGUAAAUCCUAGCUGCGGGGAUCUGCAUUGAUGAUCUACACCGACUGUACUUCCACUGCACUACAAGUCGGUAAUAAUCAGAUCUAAACCUUGUAUGCAUCUCCAUAGUGAUCCUGGGCAUGUUCGUAGUGCGGAAAUUUUUCAUUUUCUGUCGCAUUCCCCUACAACAUUUUCUUGAACAGAGUACGGGUCACUCGGAAAGGCAUCAAGGAAUAGCGACGUGUUAAGCUACGGAAUUAUGCUCCCUGAAGCCUUCACUGAAAGGAGACCCAUAGACCCUAUAUUUGGCGCACAACUAACACUUAGGCAGUGGGUUUAUUCAUCGGGCAUUUCCUGCAGAACUUGUCCAAGUUGUAAAUGGUCAGCUGCUGCAACGUUCCUCUCUUCCUUGCUGCAGCCGGGACGGUUGUUUUCCAGCGUCGAUCUUCGAAUUGGGAUUGAUCUGCUCUAGCGACUUGCCUGGCCAGAGGAUGACUAUGAUAGAUGUGGUUGUUACGCUCAAGAGAUCAAAGCUGAGUACACCAAACUAAUACAAUUAGGAUUUGAAACGUUCACAAGAAAAAGAAGAAACAUUACAAAAAUUUCUGAACAUAACCUUAUCUUAUUUUAAUUUGUAGUUAUUGUAAUUAGAAGCAUUUCCCUGCAAAAAUAAAAUAGAAGCAUCAAAUAUGGCCUAAAUAUAUCUGAAUCAUAUUGUGAAUUUAGAUGGGAAAUGUAACAGAAUGGAUUUGUAUUUCCUCCUAAUUUUUAUUUCUAAUUAUUAUGGUAAAUUAUUUUGGACUAUGAAAAAUAACUCUAUAACGAAAGUAUCGUAACCUUGGACCAGCCAGGCAAGCAAACAGGCAAUUAUGCCAAAAAGGCAAGCUAAAAGACUGUGAGAAGUGAGAGAAGGCCCUUUCUACACAACGAAAAGUCACGUGUCAAAAGGAUAAUAAAAAGACAAAGAGAAGUGGGAAAAGGUCAUUUCCAUACAACAAAAAUGCACUUGUGCCAAUGUCAGAAGAAACCUGACACAUCAUAUAUAAAAGAAAGGCACUUAUGCCAAAGGGUGUGCAGCUAUCAUCGUGCAUGCGUAGCUACCACCAUGCAUAGAAAAUCACCUCUCUAUUGUGAAUUUAGAUGGGAAAUGUAACAGAACGGAGUUGUGUUUCCUACCAAUUUUUUAUCUAGAUUAGAUUUCACAAUAAAUGUGGUAUUUAUAAUUCUCUAAUUAUUGAAGGGAUUAUGACAUACCAAGUUAAUGUACACCAAAGUUUACCAUUUUUGCAUCCCAUAAUAUAAAC
This 1497-nucleotide long non-coding RNA is filed under the name Triticum aestivum (bread wheat). RNAcentral's name for it is "long non-coding RNA (TAES_LNC011128)". The record is from RNAcentral. Lineage: Eukaryota; Viridiplantae; Streptophyta; Magnoliopsida; Poales; Poaceae.